This 29-nucleotide non-coding RNA is filed under the name Rattus norvegicus (Norway rat). The record is from RNAcentral. Lineage: Eukaryota; Metazoa; Chordata; Mammalia; Rodentia; Muridae.
UGGCACAGCCUGAGAGAAGCUAUGACUCU